This 496-nucleotide ribosomal RNA is filed under the name uncultured bacterium. RNAcentral describes it as "partial 16S ribosomal RNA". It matches the Rfam family "Bacterial small subunit ribosomal RNA", at positions 28 to 506 of the family's 1533-position model. The record is from RNAcentral.
GAUGAACGCUGGCGGCGUGCCUAAUACAUGCAAGUCGAGCGAACAGACGAGGAGCUUGCUCCUCUGACGUUAGCGGCGGACGGGUGAGUAACACGUGGAUAACCUACCUAUAAGACUGGGAUAACUUCGGGAAACCGGAGCUAAUACCGGAUAAUAUAUUGAACCGCAUGGUUCAAUAGUGAAAGACGGUUUUGCUGUCACUUAUAGAUGGAUCCGCGCCGCAUUAGCUAGUUGGUAAGGUAACGGCUUACCAAGGCGACGAUGCGUAGCCGACCUGAGAGGGUGAUCGGCCACACUGGAACUGAGACACGGUCCAGACUCCUACGGGAGGCAGCAGUAGGGAAUCUUCCGCAAUGGGCGAAAGCCUAACGGAGCAACGCCGCGUGAGUGAUGAAGGUCUUCGGAUCGUAAAACUCUGUUAUUAGGGAAGAACAAAUGUGUAAGUAACUAUGCACGUCUUGACGGUACCUAAUCAGAAAGCCACGGCUAACUACGU